AUUGAACGCUAGCGGCAUGCCUUACACAUGCAAGUCGAACGGCAGCACGGGGGCAACCCUGGUGGCGAGUGGCGAACGGGUGAGUAAUGCAUCGGAACGUGCCCAUCGAUGGGGGAUAACUGCGCGAAAGCGUUGCUAAUACCGCAUACGACCUACGGGUGAAAGCAGGGGACCGCAAGGCCUUGCGUCGAUGGAGCGGCCGAUGCCGGAUUAGCUAGUUGGUGAGGUAAAGGCUCACCAAGGCGACGAUCCGUAGCUGGCCUGAGAGGACGACCCAGCCACACUGGGACUGAGACACGGCCCAGACUCCUACGGGAGGCAGCAGUGGGGAAUCUUGGACAAUGGGCGAAAGCCUGAUCCAGCAAUGCCGCGUGUGGGAAGAAGGCCUUCGGGUUGUAAACCACUUUUGGCGGGAAAGAAAUGGUCUGUGCUAAUACCACGGAUUGAUGACGGUACCCGCAGAAUAAGCACCGGCUAACUACGUG
This 485-nucleotide ribosomal RNA is filed under the name uncultured bacterium. RNAcentral describes it as "bacterial SSU rRNA". It matches the Rfam family "Bacterial small subunit ribosomal RNA", at positions 29 to 507 of the family's 1533-position model. The record is from RNAcentral.